RNAcentral lists this ribosomal RNA (495 nucleotides) under uncultured bacterium. RNAcentral's name for it is "partial 16S ribosomal RNA". It matches the Rfam family "Bacterial small subunit ribosomal RNA", at positions 28 to 507 of the family's 1533-position model. The record is from RNAcentral.
GACGAACGCUGGCGGCGUGCCUAAUACAUGCAAGUAGAACGCUGAAGGAGGAGCUUGCUUCUCUGGAUGAGUUGCGAACGGGUGAGUAACGCGUAGGUAACCUGCCUGGUAGCGGGGGAUAACUAUUGGAAACGAUAGCUAAUACCGCAUAAGAGUAGAUGUCGCAUGACAUUUGCUUAAAAGGUGCAAUUGUAUCACUACCAGAUGGACCUGCGUUGUAUUAGCUAGUUGGUGAGGUAACGGCUCACCAAGGCAACGAUACAUAGCCGACCUGAGAGGGGGAUCGGCCACACUGGGACUGGGACACGGCCCAGAAUACUACGGGAGGCAGCAGUAGGGAAUCUUCGGCAAUAGACGGAAGUCUGACCGAGCAAAGCCGCGUGAGUGAAGAAGGGUUUCGGAUCGUAAAGCUCGGUUGUAAGAGAAGAACGAGUGUGAGAGUGGAAAGUUCACACUGUGACGGUAGCUUACCAGAAAGGGACGGCUAACUACGUG